GUGAAGCGGCAACAGCUCAAAUUUGAAAUCUGGCCUCUUUGGGGUCCGAGUUGUAAUUUGUAGAGGAUGUUUCGGGUACCGCCUCGGUUUAAAUUUCUUGGAACAGAAUGUCAAAGAGGGUGAGAAUCCCGUCUUGGACCGGCGGUAGGGCCCAUGUGAAACUCCUUCGACGAGUCGAGUUGUUUGGGAAUGCAGCUCAAAAUGGGUGGUAAAUUUCAUCUAAAGCUAAAUAUUGGCCAGAGACCGAUAGCGCACAAGUAGAGUGAUCGAAAGAUGAAAAGCACUUUGAAAAGAGAGUUAAACAGUAUGUGAAAUUGUUGAAAGGGAAGCGCUUACAACCAGACUUGCGCGCGGCGGUUCCCCCUUCCUUUUGGUUGGGCUACUCCGUCGUGUCCAGGCCAACAUCGGUUCUGGGGGUCGGUUAAAGACCCUGGGAAUGUAUCUACCCUUCGGGCGUAGAC
RNAcentral lists this ribosomal RNA (461 nucleotides) under Exophiala equina. RNAcentral describes it as "eukaryotic LSU rRNA". It matches the Rfam family "Eukaryotic large subunit ribosomal RNA", at positions 93 to 558 of the family's 3401-position model. The record is from RNAcentral. Lineage: Eukaryota; Fungi; Ascomycota; Eurotiomycetes; Chaetothyriales; Herpotrichiellaceae.